RNAcentral lists this ribosomal RNA (379 nucleotides) under uncultured cyanobacterium. RNAcentral describes it as "bacterial SSU rRNA". It matches the Rfam family "Bacterial small subunit ribosomal RNA", at positions 376 to 770 of the family's 1533-position model. Lineage: Bacteria; Bacillati; Cyanobacteriota. The record is from RNAcentral.
CGAAAGCCUGACGGAGCAAGACCGCGUGAGGGAGGAAGGCUCUUGGGUUGUAAACCUCUUUUCUCUGGGAAGAAGACCUGACGGUACCAGAGGAAUCAGCAUCGGCUAACUCCGUGCCAGCAGCCGCGGUAAGACGGAGGAUGCAAGCGUUAUCCGGAAUUAUUGGGCGUAAAGCGUCCGCAGGCGGCCAAUUAAGUCUGCUGUCAAAGCCUAGGGCUCAACCCUAGAUCGGCAGUGGAAACUGGUUGGCUAGAGUACGGUAGGGGUAGAGGGAAUUCCCAGUGUAGCGGUGAAAUGCGUAGAGAUUGGAAAGAACACCGAUGGCGAAGGCACUUUACUGGGCUAUUACUGACACUGAGAGACGAAAGCUAGGGUAGCA